Molecule: transfer RNA, 76 nt
Filed under: Toxocara canis (dog roundworm)
Lineage: Eukaryota; Metazoa; Nematoda; Chromadorea; Rhabditida; Toxocaridae
Rfam family: tRNA
About the family: Transfer RNA (tRNA) molecules are approximately 80 nucleotides in length.
Source: Rfam by way of RNAcentral
CCGGCAGUAGCUCAGUGGUGGAGCUCCCGCUUUGCAUGCGGGAAGACCUGGGUUGGUUCGAUUCCCGGCUGCUUGC